Molecule: small nuclear RNA, 102 nt
Filed under: Nicotiana attenuata
Lineage: Eukaryota; Viridiplantae; Streptophyta; Magnoliopsida; Solanales; Solanaceae
Source: RNAcentral
GUCCCUUCGUAGACAUUCCAUAAAAUUAGAACGAUACAGAGAAGAUUAGUAUGGCCCCUGCGAAAGGGUGCCACUAGGGCUGUUCAUUCGGAUCGGAUAUCC